Molecule: long non-coding RNA, 940 nt
Organism: Malus domestica (apple)
Lineage: Eukaryota; Viridiplantae; Streptophyta; Magnoliopsida; Rosales; Rosaceae
Source: RefSeq, a predicted model, not a curated record
ACACACACACAUCAACCCAUUGACCCCCUCUCUCUCUCCUUCCCUCUCGAGUUUGCUUCCAUUUCCAUACAAUUGUACGGACAAUCUCUCAAAUCUACUUUUUCAUGCACGGAUUGAGUUUGUAAACGCCAUCAUCACCUUCCUUGUAACCAUACAAACUCAACCAUACCCUUGGUGGGACGUGAGGGCUUCGGGAACCUCUGGAACUAAAAGCUCCGAUGAGGAGCAAUGUUCACUUGUCGUGAUCGCAUUGGUUUCAGAAACACUCGGGUUUAGUGAGUUACAAGGUGGCGGGAUUAUCGUGACUUUUUCUCGCGAAUUUCCGGUGGAUUUAGGACCUAAAAGUGAAUCCGGCAAUCACAGUGGUGCUAGCAUCGGACUCCGGCGAACAAAGGAAGAAGGAGGCGAAUAUUCCGUCAAAGUUGACGGAAUAUUCUAACGGCGUUAGGUAUCUUUAACAGUUUAUGCUAAUUUUUAACGGAAUAUUCCCUAACGCCGUUAGGGUUUCCGUCCAGCGUGCCAUGCCUUGGCCGAGCGUGUAGCCAUGCCUUGGCCGGCGCGUGAGGGCUCAUGGGACGUCGAAAAAAAUUUCUAAAAAUAUUGGGAUGUUCGUGGGGUUAAGCAGGUCACGAUGGUGAGACCUAUCCAGAGCACAAGCGCAAUCAAGCGAGACUCGGGGGCUACGACCUUUCCACGUAUCAGUGAGUGGGCUUUUGGUUUUCAGUAAAUACUUAUACUUGGUAAUUUUCCCAGAAAAUGUGUUUAAAUGAAAUUAUGUUUUGAAAUGUCAUGUCUAUCGAUUUAUACUUCGAUUAUGAAUUAGUAUAGUAAUUGCAUAGAUCUAUGUUCGAUGCUAUGGUUGCUCAGGUAAGUGUCAGGAGACUUGUAGAUUGUUAAUGUGAGUUGAUGAUUAUUUUGAGAUGCAUUGAGAGCUCAUAAA